Long non-coding RNA from Dreissena polymorpha, 579 nucleotides. RefSeq lists it as uncharacterized. Lineage: Eukaryota; Metazoa; Mollusca; Bivalvia; Myida; Dreissenidae. The record is from RefSeq and is a predicted model, not a curated record. The transcript has 3 exons.
UGAUGAUCUUCUGAAAUGUUAAACCAAUGCCCUGGUGUCCUUUAGGGGGCUCCAUCCAGCAAUGACUACAAUGGUGGAUUCGGGGCACCCAUUAUGACCAUGCUCAUGAAAAAAUGGGUCAAAGAACAUAUCAGCGCAGUGCUGCAGGUACGCCUUUGCCAUCCGUACACUCUGAUAAUGAGUCAUAAUGUCCGCUUAUGAGACCACGAAACCUUGAGUGACUUUAUGGCAGACAGGUCUUGCUCAAAACGCAGUGACGGCAGUGAAUUCAACGACACCACACGCGUCUCUUUCUCAUCAGAUUUACCGCACCACGAUUAAUUACGGCUUUGGUGGAAAAGACUUCUCGUCUGCUUUUGAAUUAUUGCAGGAUUAGAACAGGCAGAAGAAAUGAUAAAUAACAUUAUUAUGUACUAUUAUUAUUUCCUAAGUGUAAAGACCAAAAAUCAUAUAAAUACAUGAAUGAACGUUUAUUAGAAAACUAUUGUAAAUUACUGAUUAAAAAAAUUGAGAUAUGAAUUUAAAAUGAUUUGUUAUAUAGUUUAUACAAGAUUGUUAUACUUGAGUUAAUGAUUUUGU